RNAcentral lists this long non-coding RNA (2163 nucleotides) under Homo sapiens (human). RNAcentral's name for it is "HSALNT0368902". Lineage: Eukaryota; Metazoa; Chordata; Mammalia; Primates; Hominidae. The record is from RNAcentral.
UUCCUUCUGCAGAAAAUAAUGAUUUCUCUUAUUUCGGGUUUUUACAUUAAUCUUUCGUGUGUGUAUGUGCCUGUGUGUAUGCGUGUGUGUGUGUGUAUAUAUUAUAAAUCUACUGUUUAUUUUAGUAAUUACAUAUAUGGAUUAUAGGAUAAAUUCUACAUUUAUUCUCUUUUUUAACAUGUUUACCUAAGACUUGAUUUGAAAAUUGCUAAUGUUGUUUCUGGCCUAGUCAUCCUCAUUUGGAAUUAUGGCAGUAACGUUCAGUAAUAUUAACAAUUUUUCUAGAUAUUAUCUCUCUGGCUGGGAAGAUUUUCCGUAGAUGAUUCAUGUAAAGCUUAGAAACUGAAGGUACUUUCUGAAGAAGCAUUUACCUUUUUUACUACUCUUAUUUUGAGUGACUUUUCAGUGACUAUUUUUCACGAUGUACAUCUUUAACAUACUGCCCUUCCUUCCUUCAUAUUGCAUCCUAAAGCUGAAGUGAGACCAGGACGACAGAGGACACCAACCAACCACACCUCGGCCAAACUUAAAUCCUCAUGUUUAACUCACUCAGUAUUUCAGGUAUCUGUUGUGGUGUAACAAACCACCUCAGAAUUUAGUAGCCUAACACAUAAGCAAUUAUUAUCUCUCAGAAUUCUGCAACCGGAGCCAUCUGGGAUGUUCUGUGAUUCUAUGUGGUAUCCGGGAUGUUCUGUGAUCCUAUGUGGUAUCUGCUGGUGCCAAAAAAGCCCCAAUGGCUUCUCUGUUCAUAUAACGGGCACCCCAGUGGGGCUGGCUGGAACAGCUGCAGGCUGUUUUGGGGAUACUUUUUCCCUGCCUCUGUCUUUGGCUUUCUUGGUUGCUUCUUCCAAGAGCAAAAGCAGAAGCUUCCUAGCCUCUUAAGGGCUAGACCUGGAGCUGGCCAACACCAUGUUACUUCCAGUGCAUUCUCUUGGUCAAGACAAAUUACAGGGCCAGCCCAGAUACAAGGGAAAGAGAGUCCGCCUUUUGAUUGGUAGAACAGCAUGCACAUAUAGGGAAGAGGAAAGUCAUUUGCAGCCACCUUUGUAGAUUAUCUACCAUAUUUAAUUUGCCACACUUUAUUUUUCCUGCCUCUGUCUUUGGCUUUCUUGUUCUCCUCUAUCUAUUAAUAGUCUCUUCCUAAUUCUCCACCCAUUAAAAUACACCUAAUUCUUCAAGGCCCAACCUAAUGCCACUACCUUCAUGAAAAGGCUGGUUAUAUAAUUUAUCAUUUAAAAGGGGAUGCUUUAAGAGUAAAAGGGGCCACCGAGAGGACAACAGGCAUAAACUGGGAUGGUUGCUGGCAAAUGGGGACUUAUGAUAACUAUUCAUGAGUCUCUCCCUGAUUCUUCUAUUCAGGAACAAUCUUUCCCUUCUACUGAAUUUGUUCUUAUCUCUGAUGGUACACAUUUUAUUCUUCCUAGUAUUUUGAGUGCAAAUAACUGUCAAAGCUCUCCUAAAAUGUAAAUUCCUAGAAAGCAGAUUCAUUGUCUUAUUUGCCUUUCCCAGAGCCCUUGGCAUAGUGCAAUUGAGUAAGCGCUCAAUUAUGAAUCGGAGAAGAGAGUGGAAGACAGAAGCACCAGCACUGAUGUUCUUAGGUUAUUAAAAAUGUCUUAUAGAAUUGAAUAGCUCCACUGGAUCUAAGUACUAGUAAUUAUACAUCUUUUACUAACCUUUGAUUGAACAUCUAGGCAAUGCAGUUCCUUUGUCUCAAACAGGGGGAUAUCAUACUUGUGUUACAUAUGUUAUAGGGAUAUUGUAAAGGGCAAAGGAAAUGAUGUAUGCACAAACAUUUUGAAAUAUUAUGCAAAAAUACUUCUACAGAUACAAGAUGAUAUUAUUUCAAUUUAUUUGUUUCUAAAAACGGCUCCAAUUGAGCAGUCCAGAUAAUUUCUUCAUCCAUCGCUUUUUUAGUGGAAGUUCAGACUUUAAUUCCCUUUUUCCAAAAUUCUUAACUCUAGUUAAGAUAAAGUGGGGGGACAGCAGGUCAGAAGUAACUAGAUAAAGUCUCAGCCCAGCCAUUUCCGUCGACUGCUGAGCAUGUGAGCACUGAGCUUCUUUGAGUCUGUUUUCAUAUCUUUAAAAUGAAAUAACACCUACUCAGUCCAAGGGUUUAGUGUGAGACUCAAAUUGAAUACAUAUGAAAAAUCCUUCUAAAAUAAG